Molecule: long non-coding RNA, 1613 nt
Organism: Populus trichocarpa (black cottonwood)
Lineage: Eukaryota; Viridiplantae; Streptophyta; Magnoliopsida; Malpighiales; Salicaceae
Exons: 3
Source: RefSeq, a predicted model, not a curated record
UUCCCAGUAGCUGUAAUAUUUCUUUUUCAUACCUAAUUAAAAGUAUUGAGAACUUUAUUGAAUUUGAUUAUAUGAAGAUUUUGUUUGAGAAUUAAGGAGGAGGGUAUUUGAGGAAUUAAGGGAGAAUUUGCAUAUGCAGCAAGGGAUAUGAGUUUCAACAUUAAUGAGAGGAAAGAAUACCCCUUGGAUUUUUUUAAAAAAGUAAAAAACAGAAGAGUCCUCGUGGGACAAGCCACAAUCAACGUGUAUUGUCAAACGUGGAGGCUUUCGUUUUUCAAGGAGGUAAGAUUAAUUUAAUUAAGAACAUAAAAUCAGAAAGAAAAAGAAGAAAGCCUGAAGCAAUGGGGGUUACUGUACGCAAGGAUUAAACUUAAAAACGACACGCUUCCUUUCUCUAUCCACCAAUUCUUUUCUUAUUUCAGCAAGUUUCUUUCUCUGGUCGACGUAUCUUAACCGUCUGUUUUUUGUUUGUUGUUCAAUUGAGGAUAUGUAGAUUGUUCCGUUUGAUCCUCUGUCCUUGGAUCAUGUAUGGGUGUUUUUGACAUGUACUUAUUUCAUUCAUAAUAAAGUACUUUCCAUUAUUAGUGCUUUAUUUUUCAAUCCAAACCUUGGUUUUCUACCUGGAUCAAUCAAUUUGAAUCUAGGUACCUGCAUUCUUCAUAAUCUGAAAGAAGUACCAAAAUCUAGUGUUUCAGAUUGUUAUAGUUAAAGUUUUGUAUGAAAUUCGUUUAUUGAGUGGAAAGAGCUAUUGGAAGUAUGGAUGCAAAUGAAGAUGGUUUGUUAGAUCUUUGACUUGGUGUGUGGAUUCUGGAAAGCUUUCAAUCCUAGACAUUGAGGGUUGAAGAAUAAAGCUAUGCACUAUCUAGAGAGAGUUAAGCUACUACUACCAGCCGAGGAGGCUGCUGAUAGACUUGCAGGUAGUAUGCUUGCUUUUAAAUAAAGCUCGGGAGUGAUAAUAACCAGAGUAUUCAAUUUUUAGCUGUUCCUUAUGAUCCACAAUCCAUGUUUGUUAUUAUUAUUACAAUUAUUAUUAAGAAUUGAAGCUGCAAAGCGGGGGAAAGAGAAAGAAAGCCUUACCUGGAGCUGCUACUUAAAGACGAAGACGAUGGUGAUGGAGGGCUGGCUAACCAAUGUUACUUUCUUAAAAGAUGCUGGAUACAGACGUGACAUCUUCCCUUCAUAAUCAACUCAACUAGAUGUCGGGAUUUGCCAUUAAUGGCAAUGACUUGUGCAACCUAUCCUAAGAAGAGAGGGUUGCCAUUGUCAAUGGUAGUUGCACCAACCAUUGACAAAAUGGUGCAACCCAUGUGCAGCCAUCUUUGUUGAAGAAGAGCUGGAGCUGUGGCACCAUUGUUGCCUAUAAAAAGGCACCGAGAGAGAGAGAGCAAAGAGAAGAGGGUGGUGAGAAUGUGAAGAGAAGAGAGAAAGAGGGGUUGCCAUUGCAGCAGCUGCAAGUGCAGCAAGAGAGCUUAGAGUUGAGUUUGAGUGAAGUGAUCCUCCUCCUCCAUGUAUUGUGUUGUAAUCCUUUCUCUAUCUCUAAUAAUAUGGAACUCUCCCGUAGAUGUAGGCGGUUUUGCCGAACCACGUUAAAUAUUAUAUUCCAGUGUGCUUAA